RNAcentral lists this ribosomal RNA (1596 nucleotides) under Triticum aestivum (bread wheat). RNAcentral describes it as "partial small subunit ribosomal RNA". Lineage: Eukaryota; Viridiplantae; Streptophyta; Magnoliopsida; Poales; Poaceae. The record is from RNAcentral.
AUGAAGAUGGCGACUUGCAUUCGUAAGGUGGCCUCGGAGGAGUUUGGAGUGUCCAGGGGAAGGAGAAGCGAACAUAAGGAUACCUGGUGGUGGAAUGAUGGUGUCCAGAAGGCGCUUAAAGAGAAGAAAGAUUGCUUCAGACGCCUAUACCUGGAUAGGAGUGUAGACAACAUAGAGAAGUACAAGAUGGCGAAGAAGGCCGCAAAGCGAGCUGUUGGUGAAGCAAGGGGUCGGGCAUAUGAGGACCUCUACCAACGGUUAGGCACGAAGGAAGGUGAAAGGGACAUCUAUAAGAUGGCUAAGAUCCGGGAGAGGAAGACGAGGGAUAUUGGCCAAGUCAAAUGCAUCAAGGACGGAGCAGGCCAACUCUUGGUGAAGGACGAAGAGAUUAAGCAUAGAUGGCGGGAGUACUUCGACAAGCUGUUCAAUGGGGAGAAUGAGAGUUCUACCAUUGAACUGAAUGACUCCUUUGAUGAGACCAGCAUGCAUUUUGUGCGGUGCAUCCAGGAGUCUGAGGUGAAGGAGGCUUUAAAAAGGAUGAAAGGAGGCAAGGCGAUGGGCCCUGAUUGUAUCCCCAUAGAGGUGUGGAAAGAUCUCGGGGACAUAGCGAUAGUAUGGCUAACCAAGCUUUUCAACCUCAUUUUUCGGGCAAACAAGAUGCCAGAAGAAUGGAGACGGAGUAUAUUAGUACCAAUCUUCAAGAACAAGGGGGAUGUUCAGAGUUGUACUAAUUACCGUGGAAUUAAGCUGAUGAGCCAUACAAUGAAGCUAUGGGAGAGAGUCAUUGAGCACCGCUUAAGAAGAAUGACAAGCGUGACCAAAAAUCAGUUUGGUUUCAUGCCUGGGAGGUCGACCAUGGAAGCCAUUUUCUUGGUACGACAACUUAUGGAGAGAUAUAGGGAGCAUAAGAAGGACUUGCAUAUGGUAUUCAUUGACUUGGAGAAGGCCUAUGAUAAGAUACCAUGGAAUGUCAUGUGGUGGGCCUUGGAGAAACACAAAGCCCCAGCAAAGUACAUUACCCUCAUCAAGGACAUGUACAAUAAUGUUGUGACAAGUGUUCGAACAAGUGAUGUCGACACCGAUGACUUCCCGAUUAAGAUAGGACUGCAUCAGGGGUCAGCUUUGAGCCCUUAUCUUUUUGCAUUGGUGAUGGAUGAGGUCACAAGGGGUAUACAAGGAGAUAUCCCAUGGUGUAUGCUCUUUGCGGAUGAUGUGGUGCUAGUUGACGAUAGUCAGACGGGGGUAAAUAGGAAGUUAGAGUUAUGGAGACAAACCUUGGAAUCGAAAGGGUUUAGGCUUAGUAGAACUAAAACCGAGUACAUGAUGUGCGGUUUCAGUACUACUAGCUGUGGGGAGGAGGAGGUUAGCCUUGAUGGCCAGGUGGUACCUCGGAAGGACACCUUUCGGUAUUUGGGGUCAAUGUUGCAGGAGGAUGGGGGUAUUGAUGAAGAUGUGAACCAUCGAAUCAAAGCCGGAUGGAUGAAGUGGCGCCAAGCUUCUGGCAUUCUCUGUGACAAGAGAGUGCCACAAAAGCUAAAAGGCAAGUUCUACAGGACGGCGGUUCGACUCGCAAUGUUGUAUGGCGCGGAGUGUUAG